Molecule: ribosomal RNA, 446 nt
Filed under: uncultured bacterium
Lineage: Bacteria
Description: partial 16S ribosomal RNA
Rfam family: Bacterial small subunit ribosomal RNA
Source: RNAcentral
CCUACGGGUGGCAGCAGUCGAGAAUUAUUCACAAUGGGGGAAACCCUGAUGGUGCGACGCCGCGUGGGGGAAUGAAGGUCUUCGGAUUGUAAACCCCUGUCAUGUGGGAGCAAAUUAAAAAGAUAGUACCACAAGAGGAAGAGACGGCUAACUCUGUGCCAGCAGCCGCGGUAAUACAGAGGUCUCAAGCGUUGUUCGGAAUCACUGGGCGUAAAGCGUGCGUAGGCUGUUUCGUAAGUCGUGUGUGAAAGGCGCGGGCUCAACCCGCGGACGGCACAUGAUACUGCGAGACUAGAGUAAGGGAGGGGGAACCGGAAUGCUCGGUGUAGCAGUGAAAUGCGUAGAUAUCGAGAGGAACACUCGUGGCGAAGGCGGGUUCCUGGACAUUAACUGACGCUGAGGCACGAAGGCCAGGGGAGCGAAAGGGAUUAGAUACCCCAGUAGUC